Molecule: ribosomal RNA, 301 nt
Filed under: uncultured bacterium
Lineage: Bacteria
Description: partial 16S ribosomal RNA
Rfam family: Bacterial small subunit ribosomal RNA
Source: RNAcentral
CAGCCGCCACGGUAAAACGUAGGGUGCAAGCGUUAAUCGGAAUUACUGGGCGUAAAGCGUGCGCAGGCGGUUUUGUAAGACAGAGGUGAAAUCCCCGGGCUCAACCUGGGAACUGCCUUUGUGACUGCAAGGCUAGAGUACGGCAGAGGGGGAUGGAAUUCCGCGUGUAGCAGUGAAAUGCGUAGAUAUGCGGAGGAACACCGAUGGCGAAGGCAAUCCCCUGGGCCUGUACUGACGCUCAUGCACGAAAGCGUGGGGAGCAAACAGGAUUAGAUACCCGCGUAGUCCCUGUCUCUUAUAC